CGGACGGGUGAGUAACACGUAGGUAACCUACCCUAGAGCGGGGGAUAACAUCUGGAAACAGGUGCUAAUACCGCAUAACAACAAACAUCGCAUGAUGAAUGUUUGAAAGAUGGUUUCGGCUAUCACUCUAGGAUGGACCUGCGGCGUAUUAGUUAGUUGGUGAGGUAACGGCUCACCAAGACGAUGAUACGUAGCCGAACUGAGAGGUUGAUCGGCCACACUGGGACUGAGACACGGCCCAG
RNAcentral lists this ribosomal RNA (242 nucleotides) under uncultured bacterium. Its description in RNAcentral is "partial 16S ribosomal RNA". It matches the Rfam family "Bacterial small subunit ribosomal RNA", at positions 99 to 334 of the family's 1533-position model. The record is from RNAcentral.